Molecule: ribosomal RNA, 211 nt
Filed under: uncultured Syntrophaceae bacterium
Lineage: Bacteria; Pseudomonadati; Thermodesulfobacteriota; Syntrophia; Syntrophales; Syntrophaceae
Description: partial 16S ribosomal RNA
Rfam family: Bacterial small subunit ribosomal RNA
Source: RNAcentral
AAGUGGGGAUGACGUCAAGUCCUCAUGGCCUUAUGCCCAGGGCUACAUACGUGCUACAAUGGGCGGUACAAAGAGAAGCAACCUCGCGAGGGUGAGCAAAUCUCAAAAAGCCGUUCUCAGUUCGGAUUGAAGUCUGCAACUCGACUUCAUGAAGUUGGAAUCGCUAGUAAUCGCGGAUCAGCAUGCCGCGGUGAAUACGUUCCCGGGCCUU